Molecule: microRNA precursor, 102 nt
Filed under: Marmota monax (woodchuck)
Lineage: Eukaryota; Metazoa; Chordata; Mammalia; Rodentia; Sciuridae
Source: RNAcentral
ACACACACUCGGGGACUUAGUGGAAACGCUGACUCUGAUUCAGUAAGUCUGGUGUAGGGUCUGAGAUUUUGCAUUUCUAAUAAGCUCCCAAGUGAUUCAGAG